This 510-nucleotide ribosomal RNA is filed under the name uncultured bacterium. RNAcentral's name for it is "bacterial SSU rRNA". It matches the Rfam family "Bacterial small subunit ribosomal RNA", at positions 28 to 584 of the family's 1533-position model. The record is from RNAcentral.
AAUGAACGCUGGCGGCAUGCCUAACACAUGCAAGUCGAACGAAGGCUUCGGCCUUAGUGGCGCACGGGUGCGUAACGCGUGGGAAUCUGCCCUCAGGUUCGGAAUAACAGCGAGAAAUUGCUGCUAAUACCGGAUGAUAUCGCGAGAUCAAAGAUUUAUCGCCUGAGGAUGAGCCCGCGUAGGAUUAGCUAGUUGGUGUGGUAAAGGCGCACCAAGGCGACGAUCCUUAGCUGGUCUGAGAGGAUGAUCAGCCACACUGGGACUGAGACACGGCCCAGACUCCUACGGGAGGCAGCAGUGGGGAAUAUUGGACAAUGGGCGAAAGCCUGAUCCAGCAAUGCCGCGUGAGUGAUGAAGGCCUUAGGGUUGUAAAGCUCUUUUACCCGGGAUGAUAAUGACAGUACCGGGAGAAUAAGCUCCGGCUAACUCCGUGCCAGCAGCCGCGGUAAUACGGAGGGAGCUAGCGUUAUUCGGAAUUACUGGGCGUAAAGCGCACGUAGGCGGCUUUGU